Long non-coding RNA from Centruroides sculpturatus (bark scorpion), 676 nucleotides. RefSeq lists it as uncharacterized. The transcript has 2 exons. Lineage: Eukaryota; Metazoa; Arthropoda; Arachnida; Scorpiones; Buthidae. The record is from RefSeq and is a predicted model, not a curated record.
UAAAAAUAAAUUCAUUAAUUUAACAUCAUUAAGUUUUGAUAAAUAUGAAUUUAAUGUACUUUGUUUUUUGUUUUUGCAAAUUUUAUUUGUUAUAGUAAACAAUUCAAUUACAGAUAAGAUAAAAGAAUUUAUUAAGAAUUGAAGGAUUGGUGAAAAUAUACCAACAUGCUUAUAUUAAUUUUAAAUAUUUAAUACAUAAAAAUUGCAUUCAGUUAUUUCAAUAAAUCAAAAAAUAUUAAAGAAAAAGUCGAAAGUCAGGAAUUGGGUUUAAUGUGCUGCUAUUGGUCUAUUUGAACGAUGACAUCACAGAUCGUCACGAAAUUCGUCGCGCGCUCUGUCAAAGCGCCAUUGCUCAGACCCCUCUAGAGAAGUAUUGGAUUGAGCGCGCUUGUUGGCAUUUUGUCUUUACGAGUUCGGAACAGGUAACAGUUUUGAGUGAUAUUAUUAGAAAAGAAAAUGGAGAAGAGAAUCGAAUUGGAAAAAAGAGGAAGGAAUCCUAAUCAGGUUGUGAAACGCCGGGUAGUCACAUGGCCUGUCGCCAUGGUUUCCAAAACAAGAAAUGUCGUUGAUUGAACACGUAUCAAAAAGUUAGGAAAAGUUAUUUGUCAUAUUACGGAGGAGGUUCCGGUCGAAAGGUUUUUGGAUAACUUUUGAAUCGGAUAAAAUGGAGAGAGGU